GUUUCUGGAACCAGAAAUCAGGAGCCUGAGUGGUCUGGCAGACCACAAAACCCAUGGGGCCUUAAUCCAGAAUGGCCAACCCCGCGCAUUCAGAAAUCCACCCUGCAAAUAGCUGGGAAAAAUGUUCCAUCUGGGAUCUGAGAUGGGCACGAAGACAACCAAUGCGAGGGGGAAGCAGGUCCGGGACAGCAAUUUCCUCAGCCCAAGCCGUUCUGCCCAACCGCUCUGUCCCACAGCCGGGGAGAGGAGUAAGCACAACAGCUCAGUGGUUUAGCGCUAACUGAAGUGUUGACUGUUGAAAAAGGGAGUGAGCUGCAGGCAGAUCAGUUAUUUGAGAUCCUGACAGACAAUACUGGCAAAGACCAAUACAAAACUGAAAGACCAUCAGCCUGAACUCUCCUCUGCUAUCUGAAAGUGGUCACUCCAGAUCAGAGCUGAGACACAUUGGUGGCCACAAUGGAGGGAAGGGGGUUCCUCAAGUUCUACACACCCUGCAACAAUUAGUGACAAGGUUACAACUUUUGCCAGUGGUACUCGAGGAACUUUAAACCAGAGUCAGCCAUCUCGUGGUUCCCUAACUGAAAAGUAUGUAAUCUAUCACCGCGGUGCUUACACUAAACCUUGCAGUCCUGACUCCAAACUGUAACCAUUUAUAUGGCACAAUUUAGAAUGCGUGGUAACCCCUGGAAUGUGUA
This is a long non-coding RNA of Trachemys scripta elegans, 695 nucleotides long. RefSeq lists it as uncharacterized. NCBI's taxonomy places the organism in Eukaryota, Metazoa, Chordata, Testudines, Emydidae. The record is from RefSeq and is a predicted model, not a curated record. The transcript has 4 exons.